GGAGUGGUAGUUCAGUUGGUUAGAAUGCCUGCCUGUCACGCAGGAGGUCGCGGGUUCGAGUCCCGUCCGCUCCG
Molecule: transfer RNA, 74 nt
Filed under: Bacteroidota bacterium
Lineage: Bacteria; Pseudomonadati; Bacteroidota
Also listed under: 1 other name
Description: Bacteroidetes bacterium (activated sludge metagenome) tRNA-Asp
Rfam family: tRNA
About the family: Transfer RNA (tRNA) molecules are approximately 80 nucleotides in length.
Source: RNAcentral